GAUGAAGAACGCAGCGAAAUGCGAUACUUGGUGUGAAUUGCAGAAUCCCGUGAACCAUCGAGUCUUUGAACGCAAGUUGCGCCCGAAGCCAUUAGGCCGAGGGCACGCCUGCCUGGGCGUCACACGUCGUUGCCCCCCCAUCUACUCCUUCGGGAUUGCGGGGGCGGAUGAUGGCCUCCCGUGCGCCUCGCCGCGCGGUUGGCAUAAAUGCCAAGUCCUCAGCGACGCACGCCACGACAAUCGGUGGUUGCGAAACCUCGGUUGCCCGUCGUGUGCGGUCGUCGCGCAUCGAGGGCUCGAAAAAAUUGCCGGGUUCCGGCUCGGCUUUCAACGCGACCCCAGGUCAGGCGGGGUUACCCGCUGAAUUUAAGCAUAUCAAUAAGCGGAGGA
Molecule: unclassified non-coding RNA, 390 nt
Filed under: soil metagenome
Description: partial contains 5.8S ribosomal RNA, internal transcribed spacer 2, and large subunit ribosomal RNA
Rfam family: 5.8S ribosomal RNA (bases 1-122)
Source: RNAcentral